Molecule: ribosomal RNA, 274 nt
Filed under: uncultured bacterium
Lineage: Bacteria
Description: partial 16S ribosomal RNA
Rfam family: Bacterial small subunit ribosomal RNA
Source: RNAcentral
AUACGGAGGUGGCGAGCGUUGCUCGGAUUUACUGGGUGUAAAGGGCAAGUAGGCGGUCCUGAAAGUCCCGUCUGAAAGGUGUCAGCUCAACUGGCACACUGGGCGGGAUACUACAGGACUAGAGGUCGGAAGAGGCAAGCGGAAUUCCCGGUGUAAGGGUGAAAUCUGUAGAUAUCGGGAGGAACACCAGUGGCGAAGGCGGCUUGCUGGUCCGAUUCUGACGCUGAGGUGCGAAAGCUAGGGGAGCAAACAGGAUUAGAAACCCGUGUAGUCC